Molecule: long non-coding RNA, 467 nt
Organism: Penaeus chinensis
Lineage: Eukaryota; Metazoa; Arthropoda; Malacostraca; Decapoda; Penaeidae
Exons: 3
Source: RefSeq, a predicted model, not a curated record
GGCACGCUAGUUGCAGUCACGGCAGAGCGGGGAUCAACAGCCAGAUUACCUUGCAAGAUCAAUUCACAAAACCCUGAAGAUCCUGUGCUCCUCGUCCUGUGGUACAAGAAUGCGUCGGUCACUCCCGUGUACAGCUACGACUCCCGAGGAACUGACGGAGGCGAGGGAGCGAGUGGCCGGCACAGGCAGUGGGGCGACGAGGCAGUAUGGGGCAAGGAACAGAGGGCCUGGUUCGACAUCUCGACCACCCCGGCUCAACUCCUGAUUCGAAACGUGUUGGGUCGAGACGAAGGCAACUACAGGUGCAAGGUGCAUUUUAAAGGAUCUCCGUCUUGGUCCCAGAGGAUUACACUGAAUGUAAAAGAUCCUCCGGGUUUCCCAAAGAUACAGGAUGCAUCUGGACUAAGGCUAGAAGGUCCUAUUGGUCCUUAUGAAGACGGGUCUACAGUCAGGAUGAUGUGCAUGAG